AAGUCUGAUGUGAAAAGCCUUGGCCCCACCGCGGAACUGCAUCAGAAACUGUUGAACUUGAGUGCAGAAGAGGAGAGUGGAACUCCAUGUGUAGCGGUGGAAUGCGUAGAUAUAUGGAAGAACACCAGUGGCGAAGGCGGCUCUCUGGUCUGCAACUGACGCUGAGGCUCGAAAGCAUGGGUAGCGAAC
RNAcentral lists this ribosomal RNA (189 nucleotides) under uncultured bacterium. RNAcentral's name for it is "partial 16S ribosomal RNA". It matches the Rfam family "Bacterial small subunit ribosomal RNA", at positions 585 to 773 of the family's 1533-position model. The record is from RNAcentral.